RNAcentral lists this non-coding RNA (185 nucleotides) under Gammaproteobacteria bacterium. RNAcentral describes it as "6S RNA". It matches the Rfam family "6S / SsrS RNA". Rfam says of the family: E. coli 6S RNA was the first non coding RNA to be sequenced, but its function was unknown until recently. It consists of 184 nucleotides that fold into an extended hairpin structure with a large single-stranded internal bulge. Lineage: Bacteria; Pseudomonadati; Pseudomonadota; Gammaproteobacteria. The record is from RNAcentral.
CGUUCCCUGCGGUGUUCGUAAGCCAACCGGGUAUUUUCUUGAGCCUAAUUCAUACCCCGGGGAGAGAAAGUCGCUACUCGUGUGCAUGUCUGCCCUGAGCGGAAAGCCUAAAGGUGGCACAGCUCUUCCCACUUGAGCCUUCUGGUUCAAGAACGAAAGUUGGCGACGGCACAGGCGGGGGAUGU